Molecule: non-coding RNA, 30 nt
Filed under: Cricetulus griseus (Chinese hamster)
Lineage: Eukaryota; Metazoa; Chordata; Mammalia; Rodentia; Cricetidae
Source: RNAcentral
CCUUUGUGAGACACUUGCUAAACCGGGCAG